GCUGAGAUAGCUCAGUUGGUUAGAGCGACGGUUUUGUAAACCGUAGGUCCCGAGUUCGAAUCUCGGUCUCAGCU
This 74-nucleotide transfer RNA is filed under the name Minisyncoccota bacterium. RNAcentral describes it as "tRNA-Thr". It matches the Rfam family "tRNA". From Rfam's summary of the family: Transfer RNA (tRNA) molecules are approximately 80 nucleotides in length. The record is from RNAcentral. Lineage: Bacteria; Bacillati; Minisyncoccota.